This 12103-nucleotide long non-coding RNA is filed under the name Chlamydomonas reinhardtii. Its description in RNAcentral is "long non-coding RNA (CREI_LNC001157)". Lineage: Eukaryota; Viridiplantae; Chlorophyta; Chlorophyceae; Chlamydomonadales; Chlamydomonadaceae. The record is from RNAcentral.
CACAGCUCCUCCUUCUCAUCCCGCCGUGGCGCCGUGCCGUUGCCCCACUGCCUCUCCCCCCUCGCAUUGCAUCGCAACCCGUAACAAUGUGCGCCGACUUGCACACCGGCACAACCACAGCUGCACCCGCGACCCCCCCACUACCACUUUCUUAACUAGUCAUGCAUGGAACCCCCCCCCCCCCCAAAAAAAAACGUCAAUUUGAGAUCAACAGGUUCCCAUCCACCCGCCUUGCAGGCCUCAAACCAAGCAGUGGGUGCUCUCAUCGGUCAGCCUUUCAGCUCCAAUAUCCUCUUCCCCUCUUUCCAAAUGGGCUCGGGCACAUACCUCCUUGCAACCCCCCACCCCCGCCCCACCUUGGCCACACCGCCCACCACCAGCAGCGGCAGUGUGUAGUAGCCGAUGCCUGUGCUUGCGUGGAAGAGAGAGGGAGGGUGUGUGUGUGUGUGUGUGUGUGUGUGUGUGUGUGUGUGUUAUGGGUGUGUGUGUGUGUGUUAUGGGUAUGUGUGCAUGAGUGUGUCUUGUGUUGCAUUCGUCCUGUCUGCACCUGCAAUGAAAUCGCCCACGCCCACGCCCACGCCCACGCCCCACACCCCACGCCCCACCCCCACGCCACACGCCACCCCACCCCACGCCCACGCCCCACACUGCCCACCUGUGUACAGGUCCGCCACCACCUCGCCCGCCGCCCAGCCCUGGCGCCCCUGCCGCCCGCCGCCGGGCCCGCCCGCCGCAGGCGUCAGGCCGCGACCCCAGCCCAGUCGCGUGCGCUCCGUCACAUUGCCUGCGACAUGCAAAACCACAUAUGCAUCAAACAACGUUAGCAUCAAGUUCACUGUGUGUUAGCCGACUGUACGCGACCUGAAGGACUAGCUGUGUUGUUUCCAGCGCGUGCGCCGGCCAGUGACGCGCCCAAACGCCGAAGCGCCCCAACCCUGAAUCCAGCACAUCAACAAGCGCACUGAGCGUCCCUCUCCCGCUCCCUCUCAACUGCGCCCUUCCCCUCACCCUCCCCCUUCCUCGCCCUCCGCUGUCCAUCCCCCGUUCCUUGUCUCUCCCCCUCCCCCUCUCCCCCUCCACUCGUUUGGUUUAGUUUGGGCUGGUACUUACACUCCCCGCCCCAUUUCCCCACCCGAUGAGAACAUGCAACGCGUCACGUCCAGACUGAAGAGCACGCCGCCCUCGCGGUGAGUCACCCAGCCGGCCUGGUCGCUGCCCACUCCGCCGCCGCCUCCAGGGGUGACGUCAUCACCGCCGUCGAGCAGAAGCACGGCCCGGCUGUCGCGUGUGCCUGCAGGAGCAGGGUGUGGGUUGGGAUUGGCGUUGGGGAGUAGCCGUUCAUGGGGAACGGAGUGAUUCAUUCACAAGUAUGAAGCGCACGGGGCAGCACCCGCGAACGGUUGGCCGUUGUGACUCGUGUUGACGCGGCUCAACUCGACUUGAAAAGAACAACAAACUGAUGCGAGAUGCAUGGAUGGCGAAUUUGGCUUAGGUGUAACCCUGCGCUUGAAGCGUACACCGCAUACAUGGUGGUCUUGCCCGGAUAGAGUGCCGUGCAAAACACACACACGCGGCCGCCGUUCCUUCAGGGCCCGUCCCUCCUCCCCCCGCAUGGCAGCCGUCCCCCGCAGCCGCGCCGCUUCGCUAUUGGUGACACCGGCCAGUUCCGGCGUGGCCCCCCGGAUGAGACUGGGGGAAACCGGGGCCGAUGGGCGGGCUGCAGGGUUUGGCACGCACACGCGCGCGUGCGGGUGUAGCGCACGCUCACGUGCACGGUUUGGGUGGGAGGCGUGGGGACAUACAUGACUGCUGUGGCACACAGAAAUCUGCCGUCGGGGCCAUGGGGCUCGGGAGGAGGCGCGAGCAGCAAGGCGAGGGCGGGGGCACCCACUGGCCCUCUCGUUUCCAACCACUUGCACACUCGCUCUCUUGUCCUUUGCAUGAGCCCGACCCCGCGGCGAGACACGCUGGUGCAUUCCACUUCCACUUCAGCUUCCGCUUCCCUCAUGUCCAUCAGCGUGUGGUGAUAUGCGUCCUAUCUACAUCCGCAUGCAUGACAACCCGCUGUGGUGUGCCCCCCGAACAACCCUUCCCCAAUCCCGCCCGCCCGCACCCUCCCGCCCACCGCUUUUGCUUUCCUAGCACAUACAUAUGCCGGCCCGCCGCACCCACCCACCCGUGUUGGCUACCGGCGCCUGCCUCGCCAGCCGCCUCACUCCAAGCGCCUCCGCCACCGCCCGCCACAGCGGCAGUAGCACCGCCCGCUCCUCGCUGCUGCUGCCGCUGCUACUGCCCUUGCCGCAGCCACUGACGUCGCCGCUGCUACUGCCGCUGCUACUGCCACUGCCGCUGCUACUGCCGCCGAGCGCCGCCACCCAGCCGGGAUGAGUCAGGCUGUCGGCCGGCAGUAGCACCAGAUCUCCCAGCCGCUCCCACUUGGUGGGCAGGUCCGCAAACAGCGCCUCCCAGCUACUGCCAACGCCGGCGCCACUGCUACUGCCGACACCGUUGCUACUGCCGACGCCGUUGCUGCUGGCGGUGCUACUGCCGAUCGAGGCCUGGUGCUGCUGCUGCUGCUGCUGCUGUGCCUGCUGAAGCAGCUGUGUGACCGCCUCCCGCAUUCGGAGGGCGGGGCUGGCGGCGGCGCGGCCUGCGCGCGCCAGCGCCACGCGCACCACCUGCGCGGCACGACAGCAGCAGCCAGCGGGUGUUGGCGCGUGCGUGUCGUCAUGUCAGCUGCGCCACACUCACACUCACACACACACACAUACACACGCACGGUUCAGCCAAGGCUGACAGGGAAACUGCGUGCACCCUUAGCCGUUUUAAAGUAGUGUUUGGAUUUUUUUCGCCAGCACCGCAUGCCAGAGUGCCGUGUCGGGCGCAGUGCGUGUCACGGGGUGUGGCGUGUCCAGCGGCGUGUCCAUUCCUUGACAGGACAUAUGAAACUACAGGUACCUACCCAUCAGGCCGCCAUCGCGCGAGCCGGUGUCGCGCCAACCACAACACGGCCCAAGCCACACGCACUUGCAAGUGCACCGCUUUGUGCCAUGACUCCGCCAUAGCAACCCCACCGAUUGCACAAGCCCGCACACACCGCGACACAAGAACGUGUGCCACAGACACGUGCGACCACGCCAUUCCCUCGAUCUGUCUUCCGCUCCCUGCGGUCCCCGUUCCCUGCUGACCCCUCGCCGCCUCACCUCACAACUGGCACCACCACCACCAACGCAUCUAAAACACACCCACCUGCGCGCCCGCCUUUUCCAAAACCUCCCGUACUCCCUCCGCCGCCGCCUCCGCCGCCACCGCCGCAGGCGCCGCCGCCCCCAGCGCCGCCGCCGCCUCGGGCGUCACCGGCAGUAGCACAUGCCCCGCCGCCGUUGCCGCCGCCGCUACAGGUCCUGCGCCGCCGCCGCCAGUGCUGCUGCCUGCGGCACCACUGGCGGUAGCAUUAGCACUACUGCUGCUGCUGCUGCUGCUACUGCCGCUACGCCGGGAGGCAUCUAGGUAGCCGGCGGCUUUCAGCGCGUCCUUGACGGCCUUGGCAGCGGAACUGAGGACACGCACCGCCCAUCCCUCAGCCGCCGCCACCGCCGCCGAUGCCUCUGUCGCCGCCGCAGCCGCCGAUGCCUCCGUCGCCGCCGCAGCCGAUGAUGCCUCCGCCUCCGCCGCAGCCGAUGCCGCCGCCGCGGGUGCCGCCGUUGCUGGGAACCCCUGGCCAGCAGGGUUCGGCUUUAAAUCAGCAGCCGCGAGGGCAGACGUGGCGGGGGCUGCGACAGAAGGAGCGGUAUGUUGCUGUUGUUGCCCCUGUUGCUGCUGGUUGGGCUGCUGCUGCUGCCUCCUAACGCCGGCGCCAGGGCUAGCACCGCUGCUCGGGCUAGCACCGCUACUCAUACCGGUGCUAGCCUUCAGCUCCGCGCCGCCGGCCCCACCAGCCCUAUCAGCCCCACCGGCACGCUCCGCUUCCCGCCGUACGGCCGCCGUCAGCGUGCCCGGCGCAGCCUUGCUACUGCCGCUACUGCCGCCGCCCGACAGCGGCAGUUCAAAGCAGCCGCCGAACACCGUGCCGAAGCUGAAGCAGAACGCCCCGCCUCCCAUCACAAACAGCGACUCGCCGCCUCCGCUGCUACCGCUACUGCCGCUGCUGCCGCUGCUACUGCCGGUGGCGACGACCUCGGCGCAGUGCCGGAUGGGCACAAAGUCCAACAUUGGCGGCCCCGCCGGUACCGCCGCCACGCCUCCGCCACCGCCGCCAGCUGCUACAGCUGCCGUCGCCGCCGCCGCCACCGCAGCAGCAGCAGCGCCCGCAGCUGCUACAGCCGCGCCGUCUGCCCGGUCUGCUACAGCCAGAUCCACGCCGCAGUCGAAGGAGCGCCACUCGUGCGACCGCACGUCCAUCACGCACAACCGCCGGUGGUGGUCGGUUGGGUAACCGCCAACCAACAGCAGGUAACGGCCCCAGCGGUUGAGCGUGUGGCUGAAGCACGCCGGCGGCAGUAGCUCCUGCGGCGGCGAGCCCACAGCCGCUGGCGGCGGCGCCGCCGCCGCAUCACCACGGUGCCACGUGAGCGUGUCGAGAUCCAGGUACGACACGUCCGAGAAGUGCACGCCGUACCCGCACGUGCCGCCGUGCACGUACAUGCGGCCGGCUGACGAGGAGGCGGCUGUAGCAGCAGCAGCACCACCACCACCAGCAGCCGCGGGCCCCAGAGCGCUCGCAGGGACGUAGCAGGCGGCGUGCGACUUGCGCGGGCACGGCACCGCGCCCCGCGCCGCCACGCGCCGCCAGCGCCAGCCGGCUGCUACAGCCGGAAUGCCGGCUGCUACAGCCGCCGCCGCCGCCGGGUCGCGGCUCAGGAUCCACGUGUCACCGAGCACAGCUUCCGCGCUGCGGCCGCCGUGCACCACCACCCGCCACCCGUCCAACGCGUGCGCGCCGCGGCUGCUACUGCCGCUGCUGCUACUGCCGCUGCUGCUACUGCCGGUCGCCGGCUGCGGCUGCGGCGGCACCGCAACCACCGAGUGGCGGUAGCGGCCGGGGAAGGCGCCGGCCGCGGCUGUAGCAGCGUCCAGCGGCGCGCCGGCCGUGUCGGUUGGAUCCAGGGCCGCCGCCACCUGGAUCCAGGCCCGCGCAGCCAGAUCCAGGAUCCAAACGUCGCCCAGUGCGUCCAUGGGGCUCGUACGGCCGCCCACCAUCACGAUGUACGGCGCAUCUCCAGUGGCGCCGCCGCCACUGCUGCUACAGCCGCCAAUGGCGGCGGCGGCGUGCCCCAUGCGCGCCAGUGGUGCCGCCGCCGUGGCACCGUCCGCCAGCUCAAAGUUGCCCCAUGCACGGGCACGUGUGUCGUACGUCAGUACGUCACUGCGGCGGGCGUGCGCGCCGCCGCCGCCAUAACCACCGAGCAGAUAGAUAAUGUGGCCGGCGGCGGCGGAGGCGUGGCCCCAGCGCGGCACCAUCUCCUCCACCGUGCCCUGUUUUAGGGCGUGUGCGUUGUUGUGCGUUUGGGCCACUGCUGGCAAUUUGAUCGGUUGUGUGAGAUCGUGCAGACGGGCUUGGAGUGCGCUUCAGAGUAUUCGGAGUGUCAUUCUGACGCUCUGUUCGCGCCCCAGUUGAAACAACCUCAUGCACCCAACCCAACGCGAGUGACGUGACCUCUGCAGCGCAGGGACUUUGGCACACUGUCCGCCACCAUCAAACACACAUUGGGUGUGUCAACCGCACACAACCGCACACGCACACGCACCUGCUCCGGGAACACCGGCACGCCCAGCCAGCGCAGCAGCGGCCCCGCGCCCCCGCUGCCCGCGGCAGUAGCAGCCGCCGCCGCUGGCUUUGCUACUGCCUUCGUCGCUGCCACCGACGCUACUGCUGCUAGAGCCGCCUUGGCGACAGGUUUCACAGCCGCGGGCUUGGCCUUUGCUACAGCCGCCAGUGCUGCUACAGCCGCUGCUACAGCCCCGCUCCCGGCCAGCCCAAGCCGCGCCUCUAGCGCUCGCACCCGGCCCAGCACCGCCGCCUGCCGCCGCUUCAGCCCCUCCAGCGCCGACACCGAGCCGGCACCUGCCGCCGCCGCCGCCUCCCCGCCGCCGCGGCGGCGGCGCGCCGGCACCGCCGCCAGGCCCGCCGCCGGCGCCGCCCGCUUGGAUCCAGAUUUGGUGCCGGGCUCGCCGGUGGCAUCAGAUCCGAGAUCCGGAUCCUGCAGCACCCGGAACAGCUCCGCCUCAAACUUCCGGAUCUUGUCCAGGUUCUGGUCGUACUUUUCGUUGGCUAGAUCCACAAUGUACCGGAUGUACGAAUCCGGGACCAGUACGGCACCGCCGUCGGCCACGGGCACCUCCAGCCGCAGGGAGUAGCGGAUGCCCACCUGCACGGGGGGUUGGGGGGGGGGUGCCGGGGGGUUGCAAGGAUUGGUACAGAGAAGGGUAGCGAGGUAGACAGCAGGUGUGGUGUUGUGCGUACCGAUGACCGACGGGGGUGGGUAGCGUGAUUGGGGAUGUGUCGUGUGUGGGGGUUUGUGGAUCGUGGGAAGCGCUUAACAGCGCAAAACACACACGCAUGCGAACAGGCCUGGGUUACACCGCUAGCUACCUCUCCCUCCUCCAACUAUCCCCUCCUCCCAUGCCUGCUCACUGUUGAUCAGCUCUCAUAUACUUACGCCAAACGAGCCGGGGAACGGACCCCACCGGAUCGGCGCUUUUCCUCGCACGUCGCUUAGGCUAGUUCAACGCUCACCAUGACUCUCCGGCCGCCGCUGCCCAACGUGAGGCCGCUCUCGCGCAUGCCCGCCGCCCUCGCCGCCCCCAGCACCGCCUGUCCAGUCAGCGCGUUGUGGGCCUGAGAGGCAGAAGGAGUGGGGCGGGGAGUGGUGUGAGGAGUGGAUAUGGGAGUUGUAGAUACCAGCCCAGACUAAACCAAACCCAAUGCAAUAGAGCGAGGAGGAGAGCGUGGCCGAUGCUUGACAACGGAGCGGGGAGUGUGGGGGUUACAUCCAUGAUGCGUUGAAGAAGAGGUGGGGGAGGGAGUGGGGGUGUGCGGAAUGAGAUGGGUGACCGGUGAGAGGGGAAUGGGAAUGGGAGGUCCGGAACGCCGAAACUGCCGCGAGAGUUUGGUGCAAUUCGCGCAGUGGUGGCACCCUCGGCGUGACAGGCCACGACAAGACACACUGCAUCAGGCUUCAACUCUGUCUUGCAUGGACGGCUAUCCCCCUGCCCACCCCUCCCACACACGUCCGCCCCCCAAACACACAUACACACACACACACACACACGCCUCAUCACACACACACACACACACACACACGCCUCAUCACACACACACACACACACACCCCCCUCACACCCCUCACCUCCAGAGCCAGGAUGAACGGCUCGAAGCGGAGCACCAGUCGCGCGCCCGAGCCCGCCCGGGCGUGUACGGCGGCAAUCACAUCCUGCGGCGGCAGCAGCCAGGCGGCGGUUUACCGUUACGUCCUUUCGUCCGUCGUUUUAUAUUUAGGCAUGUCAAGCGAUAUGUUGCCAAGUACAUAAGCACACUGGUCAAACGUCUUUCCAAAAGGACGGCGCGACCUGGGCAUCACCAGCCCCCGCCAUUACUCCUGACUUGAGCCAGCCCGUUCAUGCCUCAAAUCGUGACUCGCUGUUUCCCAUAAGCUUGUUCGCUUCACGUGCUCAAAUUGAUUGUCCAUCCUCCUUUCCAUCCUUCGGUCCCCACCUCGGCGCUGGCUCGCUCGUGUGUGGCGUACACCCAUUCGCCGCCCUUGCGCCCCGCGGCGCGAUCCUGCGGCCCCGGCUCGCCAAACACCGAGAUGCGGCCGGAGCAGGAGGAGGUGGUGUAGACGGCGGGGUGGGCGUUGAUGCGCGCGACCUGUGAGAGUGUGACAGGGGGGUAAGCCCCGUGUUUGUGACUGGCGGACAGGAAGGACACCCCUGGCUAGCACAGGCUGUCUCGUGUCCCCGAUCCCAACACCCACACCCACCCACCCCCAACACAAACCCACACCAGCACCCACACCCACACACGCGCACACACCCACCCACACACCCACAUGCACGUCCAAGCACUGCCCCUCCUCACUUCCUUACUCGUGGGACUGGUGCAACCGUGCAAUCCACCACGCACGACCCCCCCCCCCCCCCCACACACACACGCCACACGCCACACGCCCCGUAACCCCACGCACCAGCUCCGCAACCGGGGCAUCCACACUGCCCUUGCGGCUUUUGUCGCCGCAGUCCGCCGCCAGCGACGCCACCACACCCGCCUUGCGCUGCGCAAACGCAUCCAGCCGCCCGCCACCCGCCGCCUUGCCCAUGCCGCCGCCGCCGCCGCCCGUGUGAGCUGCAGCCAUGCCGCUUUGUCCUAUGCCUGCCCUUCGGGAUUACUGCUUUGCUGCUACAGCCUCUGCCUGGUUGCCGCUGCAACCACUGCCUGCCUGCUGCCUGCGAAUGCCGCUGCUGCUGCUACUGCUACUGCUGCCGCCUCUGGCUGCCUGCUGCUUCAGCCGGUCUGCCUGCCCCUGCUGCUGCCUGCUGCUACUGCCCCUGCUGCUACUGCCCCUGCUACUGCUACUGCUACAGCCUGCUCCCUAUCAGCGCUGCAGCCCCAGCAUGUCCUGCAGCUGCUCCAGCCGCUUGCGUCCCUCGCUCAGCAGGAACUUGAUGGCCUGCGGGAGGAGGCAAUGUGGGAAUAGAAAUGUGGGAAUGGAAAUGUGGGAAUCCCCCUACAAUAAACACAACGUACACCCUGUGUUUGUGCUUUUCUACCCCCCCCCCCCCCCCCACACACACACACAAAAACAGAGUAGCCCGCAUAUGCGGCUGCAGCUUCUCCUUGCAGCGCUACUGUUUCCUAAUGGGAUUGGUUCAUAGUUAACCCCCCCCACACACACACAUGGGCGGGCUUCCGUUUCCUUUUUUAACACACACACACACACACACACACACACACGCUCACACACACCUGCAGGUCGGUCACGUGCCGCUGCGCCUCGAAGUUGCGGCGCACCUCCACCGCCAGAUCCCCUGCAGCAGCAGCAGCAGCAGCAGCACAGGCCACACACACAAGCACACACACAGGAGGUUUUCCACGAGGCCACAAGGCGCCGGCGCCGACGCAGGCAUCAGCGCUGGCCGCCAAAGUCGCAGACAUGGCACACACGACACGCAACGUGCCGCCGUGGCGGUUGGCCCCGGUUGGUUCCAACGGUGCGUAACCGCCGGCAACCGCCCUUGGUGGCGGGAAUCCAAGGAACAGGAUGGGCGGCAGCGGGCUGCUAGCGGCUGAAGACAGGGGGGCGUCAGCACGUUGCUAUUAGCCCGGCCCCCGCACCCAUGCAAGCUUGCAGGCAGGCAGGCACUGCGACACACGCCGUCACACGCAUGCCUCUAAGCCUGGUCACCCUGGCUUUGGCUCUUUCUCGAUCGGGAAUCCAGCGCUGCCGGCCUCCCCAACGUCAGUGCCUUACUAAUGCACCGUCAUGGCAGGGCCCAGGCGCGCGAUACCGCCCUCCUGGGGGCGACGUCGUGCCGUUCGCCGGCGCCAACCACGAGCGGCAUAUGCGUAUGCAACACGUCGUGGGGCCCCCGGACACUCACUUCGCUCGCUGCCAGUCCCGAGGCCUCUGCUUGCACGCAAGUACUGUCUGUAGAGGCCCAGAACGUGCGAGCGAUAAAUGAAGUGCCGAAGGCUCUGGGCGGCUGCCAAUCCGCCCGCCGGCAUACUACUUUAGCGCUGCGUCUGGAGCUAUAAAGGUAGUUUGUUGUAGUUUUGCGUCAAACAAUCUACAAGCGUGCUGAAUGGCGAGGGCGCAACACCGCAAUUCACAAACAGUUGGUAAAGUCCAGUUGCACUUUGUCAAAUAUGGCAUUUGCAUGUAAUUGAUAAUAUUGCGACAUGCAUGAUGACUUGUCACAAGCUGACAAUCGUUGCCGACACGCGUGUUCGUGUGUGCGCGUGUCGAGCCCCUUCCGUUUCCCCAGCGGGACCCCAAUAGCCAGUCCCGCCCUUUGGCCGUCAUGCGCUGGACUAAAGAUACAAUUCUGCGACUUAUCCUUGAAUUGCUGUCAAGGCCCCGCUGGCUGCGGCUGACGAGGUGUUGAACCAUGUUUGGCAAUGUAGAGUAUCCCAGGCGCACGGCACCACGGCGCUGCCAUAGAACAAGGGGGAAGGUUGUGUUAGCAUGCCCGGUGCAUCGCUACCUCAAAGGUGGUAGCACGUACCUGUCCCGCAAAGGCUUGGCCUAACGCCGGCAUCCGCCUUGGCGGUGGCCCCGAUCGGGCCUUACUCCCCGGUCAUGCACUGCGCCAGUAUGCGUGUGUGUGUGGUCUUACAUCACGUGUGGUACCUUGCGGGCUGCCUGCGACACAAAUUCAUCGUCACUGCUGCCAUCCAACCCUGCUGCCAUGCAACCCCUUGCGCCUCCCCCUCCCGCCACCCCGAGUGGCUUGCCGAGUGGUAGCGUAUUGACCUCGCUCGAGCGUGGCUCUUAUGCCGCAGUUCGGCCAUGGCCCCAGUUGCUCAUCAGGCAAAGGAGUAUCCUUCCGUCUCCUACUGGAAUGCCCCUCGAGAGGUGGAGGGGUAAUCCGUGGGGGUAAUCGCAGGGACCCGCAAACCCCCCGUCUCGCGCCGAACUUCCGCGGCAUAUCCCUGGCGACCCCAAUCGCGACCCACCAACUGGCCUGCAUGAUGAUACUGUGCAUGCAUGCUGGGGCUCGCACGCCGUCCGAACCCGCGCGCAAAGCUGGCCCGCGGCCACGAAAUCGUGGCAUUUGCACUUGCCGGUCCGAUUCUACUAUGCCGCGCCACGAGCAGCGACGCGCGAAGCCCAUUUCCCCUGUCAUACAAAUUCAGGAAGCCCAUGGUCACACAUUAGAGCCGCGCAUGUAGGUCAAGCUGUCUGCGUAGGGUCCUGUUUGCGUGGCUUUGGCAUGUGCACCCGGCGCCCAGCGCCCGAGCGCAAUUCAAGUGGUUAAGACGCCUCAGAACGCGUAAUUGAAUGCAUGUGUCAUUCUGGAAGGGUGUAUAGAGCGGUCGAGCGGAAGGCUGUCCAGCUCGCGUGCAAGCAAUUGUCUCGCGACGCCCGCUCCCGACGAGUGCGACCGCCCGCGACCGGGUUCGCUGGUGCAAGUGGCUUCAUUAGCGAGGUUUCGGGCUGGCUGCGGGCCAAUGCGAGCGCUGGGCGCAGAGAAAAAGGCGACGUACGGCGAUGAAGGCUCCAGGGCGGAUGGGCGAGGGGCAACCGGGAUAAAUGGUCCUCCUUUCCCCAAGGCCCGCUACACUCUUGACCUUGCUCACGUAGUGUCCUUCGUCGCCACUCACAACCUUCAAAAAUGGCCAUGGCUAUGCGCUCCACCUUCGCCGCCCGCGUUGGCGCUAAGCCCGCUGUCCGCGGUGCUCGCCCCGCCAGCCGCAUGAGCUGCAUGGCCUACAAGGUCACCCUGAAGACCCCUUCGGGCGACAAGACCAUUGAGUGCCCCGCUGACACCUACAUCCUGGACGCUGCUGAGGUGAGGCGGUCUGAAUCGGCUGCUGGCGUUAGGGACCCGCCUGCCCGGGCGCGCUUGGCCUUCCUGCUAGCGCAGCUUCGCCUACAUGUGCUUUGAUCAGCCAAUUGGAGCGAACAGCGCCGACGAUCGCAGAGGUUCUGGGUCGGAAUUGCACUAACGAUCAGUGCUGACGAGUCGUGCCCCUCUUCCUUCUUGCUGCUCUGCGACCACAGGAGGCCGGCCUGGACCUGCCCUACUCUUGCCGCGCUGGUGCUUGCUCCAGCUGCGCCGGCAAGGUCGCUGCCGGCACCGUCGACCAGUCGGACCAGUCCUUCCUGGACGAUGCCCAGAUGGGCAACGGCUUCGUGCUGACCUGCGUGGCCUACCCCACCUCGGACUGCACCAUCCAGACCCACCAGGAGGAGGCCCUGUACUAAGCGCUUUCGCCAUCUGCGGGGGUCGUAGGCUAGAACUGGGGUUGGGGAUCGGGCUGCUUGCAUAGCCAAGCAAUUUUCCAUCUGGCCAGCAAUGGCCUAGCACUAUGAGCGGUUCAAGUGUCUCUUGUGUGUUGUGUCGCAUUGCAUGGCCGUGGUGACCUGCAAUUUUCUGUAACCGG